UACGUAGGGGGCAAGCGUUAUCCGGAUUUACUGGGUGUAAAGGGAGCGUAGACGGUGAUGCAAGUCAGAUGUGAAAACCCGGGGCCCAACCCCGGGAGUGCAUUUGAAACUGCCAUGCUGGAGUGCCGGAGAGGUAAGCGGAAUUCCUGGUGUAGCGGUGAAAUGCGUAGAUAUCAGGAGGAACACCGGCGGCGAAGGCGGCUUACUGGACGGCAACUGACGUUGAGGCUCGAAAGCGUGGGGAGCAAACAGG
This 253-nucleotide ribosomal RNA is filed under the name uncultured Eubacteriales bacterium. RNAcentral's name for it is "uncultured Clostridiales bacterium partial 16S ribosomal RNA". It matches the Rfam family "Bacterial small subunit ribosomal RNA", at positions 524 to 776 of the family's 1533-position model. The record is from RNAcentral. Lineage: Bacteria; Bacillati; Bacillota; Clostridia; Eubacteriales.